GACCGGCCACACUGGGACUGAGACACGGCCCAGACUCCUACGGGAGGCAGCAGUGGGGAAUAUUGCGCAAUGGGCGAAAGCCUGACGCAGCRACGCCGCGUGAGGGAUGACGGCCUUCGGGUUGUAAACCUCUUUCAGCAGGGACGAAGCGAAAGUGACKGUACCUGCAGAAGAAGCGCCGGCUAACUACGUGCCAGCAGCCGCGGUAAUACGUAGGGCGCAAGCGUUGUCCGGAWUUAUUGGGCGUAAAGAGYUCGUAGGCGGUYUGUCGCGUCGGANGUGAAAACCCGGAGCUCAACUCCGGGCCUGCUUUCGAUACGGGCAGACUUGAGUGUUGCAGGGGAGACUG
Molecule: ribosomal RNA, 349 nt
Filed under: uncultured bacterium
Lineage: Bacteria
Description: bacterial SSU rRNA
Rfam family: Bacterial small subunit ribosomal RNA
Source: RNAcentral